GGGGUUGUAGCUCAGUGGUAGAGCGCUUGCCUUGUACGCGUGAGUCCCUGGGUUCGAGCCUCAGCACCA
This is a non-coding RNA of Ictidomys tridecemlineatus (thirteen-lined ground squirrel), 69 nucleotides long. The record is from Rfam. Lineage: Eukaryota; Metazoa; Chordata; Mammalia; Rodentia; Sciuridae.